This 462-nucleotide ribosomal RNA is filed under the name uncultured bacterium. RNAcentral's name for it is "bacterial SSU rRNA". It matches the Rfam family "Bacterial small subunit ribosomal RNA", at positions 29 to 506 of the family's 1533-position model. The record is from RNAcentral.
GCGAACGCUGGCGGCAGGCUUAACACAUGCAAGUCGAGCGCGUAGCAAUACGAGCGGCGAACGGGUGAGUAACACGUAAACAAUCUGCCCUAAAGUGGGGAAUAACUAUCCCAACGGAUAGCUAAUACCGCAUAAUGAUGGAGGUGGCAUCACCUCUUCUCGAAAGACCUCGGUCUCUUUAGGAUGAGUUUGCGUCCCAUUAGUUUGUUGGCGGGGUAACGGCCCACCAAGACGACGAUGGGUAUCCGGCCUGAGAGGGUGUACGGACACAUUGGGACUGAGAUACGGCCCAGACUCCUACGGGAGGCAGCAGUAGGGAAUUUUGCGCAAUGGGGGAAACCCUGACGCAGCAACGCCAUGUGAGGGAUGAAGCAUUUCGGUGUGUAAACCUCUGUCAGCAGGGAAUAAAAGGCCUUACGGGCAUUUGAAUGUACCUGCAAAGGAAGCCCCGGCUAACUUCGU